UGAUUAUAUUUUAUUUAUUAAAAAUUUUUUUUUAUAUCAUAAGUUAUUAAAAAUAAUUAUUAAAAGGUUUGUUUGAGUAUUUUAUAAAGAAAAAAUAAUUUUAAUUAUAGUUAAAUAGUAUUGUGAAAGAAAAUUGAAAUAAUUUGAAAAAUUAAUAUUUUAAAAGAAAAUUUAAUUUAUUGUACCUUGUGUAUCAGGGUUUAUUAAAUAAAAAUUAUUUAGUAUAAUUUUCUCGAUUUUAAAAGAGUUAAUAUAUUAUAAAAGUUAAUGUGAUAAAAUUAUUUUAUAUAAUAUAUUAGAAAUGAAAUGUUAUUCGUUUUUAAAGGUAUCUAGUUCUUUAAGAAAUAAAUUUAAUUUAGAAAUUUUAUAUUAUUUAAUUAAAUAUAUUAAUUAAAUAAUUAUUUAAUUUUAAUAUUUUAUGGGAUAAGCUAUAAAAUAAAUUAUUAAAAAUUGUUAAAUAAUUUAAUAAAUAUAAGCUUAGAAAUAGCUAUUAUUAAUGAAAUUGUUAUAAUUUAUUUUAUUACAAUAAUUAUUUAUUUAAUUUUAAUUAUGUAUUAAAGUAUUUAUUUUAAUUAUAAAAAUAAAAAAAUAAUGAUAAAAUUAGUAUAUUAUAUUGUAUAAAUAUAAUUAAUUGAUAAGUUUUUAUAAAGAACUCGGCAAAAAUAAUGUUCGCCUGUUUAACAAAAACAUGUCUUUUUGAAUUUUUUUUAAAGUCUAGCCUGCCCACUGAAUAAUUUAAAUGGCCGCAGUAUACUAACUGUGCAAAGGUAGCAUAAUCAUUAGUCUUUUAAUUGAAGGCUGGUAUGAAUGGUUGGACGAGAUAUUAACUGUUUCAUAAAAAUUUAUAAUAGAAUUUUAUUUUUUAGUCAAAAAGCUAAAAUAAAAUUAAAAGACGAGAAGACCCUAUAAAUCUUUAUAUAUAGAUUAUUAGAAUUUUGUAGAUUUUUUUUAUUAUAAUAGUUGAUUUUAUUUUAUUGGGGUGAUAUUAAAAUUUAAUUAACUUUUAAUUUUUAAAGUCAUUAAUUUAUGAAUAAUUGAUCCGUUAAUAACGAUUAAAAAAAUAAGUUACUUUAGGGAUAACAGCGUAAUUUUUUUGGAGAGUUCAUAUCGAUAAAAAAGAUUGCGACCUCGAUGUUGGAUUAAGAUAUAAUUUUAGGUGUAGCCGCUUAAAUUUUAAGUCUGUUCGACUUUUAAAUUCUUACAUGAUCUGAGUUCAAACCGGCGUAAGCCAGGUUGGUUUCUAUCUUUAAAAAAUAAAAAUAUUUCAGUACGAAAGGACCUAAUAUUUAAUAAAUAAUUAUUUUAAUAUUGAAUAUAAUUAAUUUA
This 1326-nucleotide ribosomal RNA is filed under the name Sarcophaga dux. RNAcentral describes it as "16S ribosomal RNA". The stretch from base 1076 to 1235 matches the Rfam family "Archaeal large subunit ribosomal RNA", at positions 2544 to 2703 of the family's 2987-position model. Lineage: Eukaryota; Metazoa; Arthropoda; Insecta; Diptera; Sarcophagidae. The record is from RNAcentral.